UUUUUUUUUUUUUUUUGAGUGAUGUGUAUUAGCUGCAAUUUCCCUUUUUAAUUGGCAUUCUCCCCCUCCUUUUUUCAUUGAAUCACUCAUGAUAACUGUUUUAGUCAAGUUGAAUUGAUAUUCAUCAUGAGAGAUGCUUUCUUGAGAACAACACGAGUGAUUUAAUUUUCAAUCUAAUAAUUCCUAAUGGUUUUUUUCUAUCAUCUAUUGUUCAUUGAUACUUUGAACAUUCCAAAUGGCAUUUUCCUAUCAUUUAGUUCUCAUUGCUUUAUGAUCUAAACUUCCUGAAACCCUCUUUUUUUCCCCUCAGUUUUAUGCCUGAUGCUGAUGCUAUUUGUAUUUGGUAUAGAUUUCUUGACUCAUUUAUUGCAUGUGGAUUGUGACACACGUAAGGAAUUUAUGUUGAUAUGUCUAGUUCUUCUAAUUUUUGCUUGCAGGAUCCUCAGAGAAAAAA
This 454-nucleotide unclassified non-coding RNA is filed under the name Hevea brasiliensis (rubber tree). The record is from RNAcentral. Lineage: Eukaryota; Viridiplantae; Streptophyta; Magnoliopsida; Malpighiales; Euphorbiaceae.